RNAcentral lists this ribosomal RNA (378 nucleotides) under uncultured bacterium. RNAcentral describes it as "partial 16S ribosomal RNA". It matches the Rfam family "Bacterial small subunit ribosomal RNA", at positions 338 to 733 of the family's 1533-position model. The record is from RNAcentral.
CCUACGGGUGGCAGCAGUGGGGAAUAUUGCACAAUGGGGGAAACCCUGAUGCAGCGACGCCGCGUGAGUGAAGAAGUUCUUCGGUAUGUAAAGCCCUAUCAGCAGGGAAGAAAAUGACGGUACCUGAUUAAGAAGCCCCGGACAACUACGUGCCAGCAGCCGCGGUAAUACGGAGGGGGCCAGCGUUAUCCGGAUUUACCGGGUGUAAAGGGAGCGUAGACGGCAGGACAAGUCUGGAGUGAAAUGCCGGGGCUUAACCCCGGAACUGCUGUGGAAACUGUGAAGCUAGAGUGCAGGAGAGGUAAGUGGAAUGCCUGGUGUAGCGGUGAAAUGCGUAGAUAUUAGGCGGAACACCAGUGGCGAAGGCGGCUUACUGGA